Acanthochromis polyacanthus (spiny chromis) is the source of this 2699-nucleotide long non-coding RNA. RefSeq lists it as uncharacterized. The record is from RefSeq and is a predicted model, not a curated record. The transcript is spliced from 7 exons. Lineage: Eukaryota; Metazoa; Chordata; Actinopteri; Pomacentridae.
AAACAUGUAGCAGUCAACUUGAGGAAAAGGUUUUUGCUGAUUAGUGAGGCGAUCGUGGUGUUUAUGUUUGUUAGAAAGCCCACAUGUAUAAUGUGGUCAUUGUUGUUGGUUUCUGUUCGGUUAGUUAGCGUAUGUGUUGCCUUUUCCAACGCUCCUUCAACGCACCACAAUUGCCACAGCAGAGAGAGAGAAGAUAAAGGAGUCCGUGUAUUUACUUAAUAACCUAAUAUCUGCGGUGGCCUGGCUCGUGUUCUUCCUGUCGGCGUCUGCGUGUGUGCUCCUUCAGGUGUUGCUGUGCGUGACAGAAGCAGAUUGCAAACAACGAUGGAGCACAAGAGUCACGUCUGCAGUGUGUUCUACAAACACUUCACUGAGAAGUCAAGCUUGACCCGCCACAUGAAGCUUCAUGGUCCAAAGGAGCACAAGUGCAGUGUGUGUGGGAAGAGCUUCAGCACCGAGCAUGCUGGAGUAUGUGUGAGACUUCCCAUCUGUCAUGUGCCAUCAUGACAAGAGGUUGAAGAAACAUGAAGCAAAGACUGAGGCUUCUUCUCAGUCAAAGCCCAGCAUGACGCUCUCUAUGCCACUGAUGCAGAGCUUCUGGCUGUUGCAGAAAGUCUCCUGGACGAGUCGGAGGUGUGUGUCCUGGCCUACAACAGGGAGGACAUGAUGCUCCGGUCAAAGCCGUCAGGAGUGGAAGUCCAGAGCUGUACGCCCAGUAUUCGGACCAGGACAUGAUCGGCGUCCUCAAAGCCCAUCAGAUCAAGUCUUACGUCAGGCGCGUCACCCGUGGGAUUGAGGACACUGCCUGUCCUAGAAUCAAUUCUGGCUGACUUCAAGGGGCCAGUGGGUCUCCACAUAGACGGCAUCCCGCUCUUCAAGUCUACAGGCUGCAGAUGCACACCGGGUGACAGCAAGCAAACAUCUUGGAUGUAUGCAGGCGAGUUCAGGUCUAUGUGUAAUUCUUGUCAUGUGUGUAGACCAGUCUGCCAGGCUAAGAGCCACGUUGUGUUUUGUAGGAUCCUCCUGGCUUUCAGCUGUACGUGGCAGUGAAGAAGGUGGUGCUGAACGGCGUGCAGCUGAACAGGUACAGAUGUCGGGCCUGCAUGCACACCUGGACAACGCCAUUCCGUCCUACAGAUGUGGGAUCAGGCCAUUCCAAGUGUACCUGAUUGGAUUCGUUGUGCAGUGGAACACCAGGAUGGAAUCCCUCCGGGUGGCUGGCGGUCACCACCAUGAACCACCAGGCUGAGGUGCUGUUUGGCAAGGAGCAUGUGCCGGAGCCCAACUUUGCUGCUCCUCUGCCCUGCCCUGACCAAUACAAACACCUGGACGAGGAGGAGCUCCUGGGGGUUGAGUACGCCCUGUGCCAGUCCACUGCCUUCACACCACCGCAGUACUAUGCACAGAGAGUGCAGGAAGAGCAGUGUCGCCAGGAUGAAGAGGAACUGCAGCAGCUACGGCGGCACCAUCUGUCCAGUUUGCCGGGCCCUCCUGCAGUCAAGUGUUUGCCUGCUCUGCCUCCACCUGCACCUAAGGUCCAUUCCAUCGUGCCCAACAAGUCACAGAGACCAUGUGGGGCUAGUCAGGUACUGCAGUGUGGUGGCAUGCGCAAAAGAUACACGCCUUCCGAGGAGAAAGUAGGUGGGAGCAGCCAGAAAUUGUUCACUUUUUGCCCCAAGACCGGCAAAUCCACCACACCUGGCUUUGAAGAUGUGGUGUACACCAGCUUUGAACAUUUUAAAGGUAUGGUGGACAAGGAACUGGAGAGGAGAAACAACCAACAGCUCUAAAGCCUCGCUGGACUGUUGGCAGUUGCCUCUGCUGCUGCUGUUGUUGUUAUUUGCUGUUUGGACAUUUUAACUUAUUGUUUAUGUGUGCACUUCUGAGAAGGUCACUAUUUGUUCUUUGUUUGUGGCUGCCUCUUUUUAAUUUCAGUUCAUUUAUUUAUCUAGAAGUAACCGUGCACAAUAAUUUGUCAUUUGCUGCACCAGACCAAAUUUACACUGAUUCUAAUUGACAUCCCCACUUUGCCACUUCUUUAAGUGCCACUUUUAAAGUCCUUGCCGAUGUCUUUGUGGUAUUAGACAGAUUGUUCCGCUGUCUAAAGGAACCGUAUACAAUAAUUAACUUUGUAGUGCACUAAACCAAACUUACAGUGAUUCUAAUUGACAUCCCCACUUUGUCACUUCUUUAAAUGUCACUUUUGAAUUGACAAUGUCUUUGUGGUAUCACAAGUGGCCUUGGCUGACUUUACAAAAGAGAAAUGAUGUGAAUUUAUUAUUAUUGUUAUUAUUAUGUGAAUUUGUGCCGAACAUUUUAUGCUUGAAUGUUGAUAAGUGUACACUGCAUUUAAAGGUUUUGAAAUUUUUCAGAUUAUAGUGGAUUGAGGAAUGAUUUUUAUUCCUGGUGCCUUCCUCAUCCUCCUCCCCCCCCUUGUUCUGUCAGCUUGGCACUGCACUCUCCUUAUAAAGUAGCUAUUAGAAUGAUUGUCCUGUAUACUUGAAGUUUAUUACGACCUCUACUGAGGCACUUCUCCCUAUUCGUAAAUAGUAUUACUAGUAGGUUUUUGUGUUGUAAAGUAUGUAUUAUUUGUAAUAUUUGCUCAUUUAAAAUAAUAGUAUUUUCUGAAGAUAUUUUAUGUAUUCUUUAUAUUUGCAAAAUAACAUAAACAAUCAAUAAAAAUAUUGGUGGCAUUUCAA